GGGUUGUGAGGUUAAGCGACUAAGCGUACACGGUGGAUGCCCUGGCAGUCAGAGGCGAUGAAGGACGUGCUAAUCUGCGAUAAGCGUCGGUAAGGUGAUAUGAACCGUUAUAACCGGCGAUUUCCGAAUGGGGAAACCCAGUGUGAUUCGUCACACUAUCAUUAACUGAAUCCAUAGGUUAAUGAGGCGAACCGGGGGAACUGAAACAUCUAAGUACCCCGAGGAAAAGAAAUCAACCGAGAUUCCCCCAGUAGCGGCGAGCGAACGGGGAGGAGCCCAGAGCCUGAAUCAGUGUGUGUGUUAGUGGAAGCGUCUGGAAAGGCGCGCGAUACAGGGUGACAGCCCCGUACACAAAAAUGCACAUACUGUGAGCUCGAUGAGUAGGGCGGGACACGUGGUAUCCUGUCUGAAUAUGGGGGGACCAUCCUCCAAGGCUAAAUACUCCUGACUGACCGAUAGUGAACCAGUACCGUGAGGGAAAGGCGAAAAGAACCCCGGCGAGGGGAGUGAAAAAGAACCUGAAACCGUGUACGUACAAGCAGUGGGAGCCUCUUUAUGGGGUGACUGCGUACCUUUUGUAUAAUGGGUCAGCGACUUAUAUUCUGUAGCAAGGUUAACCGAAUAGGGGAGCCGAAGGGAAACCGAGUCUUAACUGGGCGUUAAGUUGCAGGGUAUAGACCCGAAACCCGGUGAUCUAGCCAUGGGCAGGUUGAAGGUUGGGUAACACUAACUGGAGGACCGAACCGACUAAUGUUGAAAAAUUAGCGGAUGACUUGUGGCUGGGGGUGAAAGGCCAAUCAAACCGGGAGAUAGCUGGUUCUCCCCGAAAGCUAUUUAGGUAGCGCCUCGUGAAUUCAUCUCCGGGGGUAGAGCACUGUUUCGGCAAGGGGGUCAUCCCGACUUACCAACCCGAUGCAAACUGCGAAUACCGGAGAAUGUUAUCACGGGAGACACACGGCGGGUGCUAACGUCCGUCGUGAAGAGGGAAACAACCCAGACCGCCAGCUAAGGUCCCAAAGUCAUGGUUAAGUGGGAAACGAUGUGGGAAGGCCCAGACAGCCAGGAUGUUGGCUUAGAAGCAGCCAUCAUUUAAAGAAAGCGUAAUAGCUCACUGGUCGAGUCGGCCUGCGCGGAAGAUGUAACGGGGCUAAACCAUGCACCGAAGCUGCGGCAGCGACACUUAUGUGUUGUUGGGUAGGGGAGCGUUCUGUAAGCCUGUGAAGGUGUACUGUGAGGUAUGCUGGAGGUAUCAGAAGUGCGAAUGCUGACAUAAGUAACGAUAAAGCGGGUGAAAAGCCCGCUCGCCGGAAGACCAAGGGUUCCUGUCCAACGUUAAUCGGGGCAGGGUGAGUCGACCCCUAAGGCGAGGCCGAAAGGCGUAGUCGAUGGGAAACAGGUUAAUAUUCCUGUACUUGGUGUUACUGCGAAGGGGGGACGGAGAAGGCUAUGUUGGCCGGGCGACGGUUGUCCCGGUUUAAGCGUGUAGGCUGGUUUUCCAGGCAAAUCCGGAAAAUCAAGGCUGAGGCGUGAUGACGAGGCACUACGGUGCUGAAGCAACAAAUGCCCUGCUUCCAGGAAAAGCCUCUAAGCAUCAGGUAACAUCAAAUCGUACCCCAAACCGACACAGGUGGUCAGGUAGAGAAUACCAAGGCGCUUGAGAGAACUCGGGUGAAGGAACUAGGCAAAAUGGUGCCGUAACUUCGGGAGAAGGCACGCUGAUAUGUAGGUGAAGCGACUUGCUCGUGGAGCUGAAAUCAGUCGAAGAUACCAGCUGGCUGCAACUGUUUAUUAAAAACACAGCACUGUGCAAACACGAAAGUGGACGUAUACGGUGUGACGCCUGCCCGGUGCCGGAAGGUUAAUUGAUGGGGUUAGCGGUAACGCGAAGCUCUUGAUCGAAGCCCCGGUAAACGGCGGCCGUAACUAUAACGGUCCUAAGGUAGCGAAAUUCCUUGUCGGGUAAGUUCCGACCUGCACGAAUGGCGUAAUGAUGGCCAGGCUGUCUCCACCCGAGACUCAGUGAAAUUGAACUCGCUGUGAAGAUGCAGUGUACCCGCGGCAAGACGGAAAGACCCCGUGAACCUUUACUAUAGCUUGACACUGAACAUUGAGCCUUGAUGUGUAGGAUAGGUGGGAGGCUUUGAAGUGUGGACGCCAGUCUGCAUGGAGCCGACCUUGAAAUACCACCCUUUAAUGUUUGAUGUUCUAACGUUGACCCGUAAUCCGGGUUGCGGACAGUGUCUGGUGGGUAGUUUGACUGGGGCGGUCUCCUCCUAAAGAGUAACGGAGGAGCACGAAGGUUGGCUAAUCCUGGUCGGACAUCAGGAGGUUAGUGCAAUGGCAUAAGCCAGCUUGACUGCGAGCGUGACGGCGCGAGCAGGUGCGAAAGCAGGUCAUAGUGAUCCGGUGGUUCUGAAUGGAAGGGCCAUCGCUCAACGGAUAAAAGGUACUCCGGGGAUAACAGGCUGAUACCGCCCAAGAGUUCAUAUCGACGGCGGUGUUUGGCACCUCGAUGUCGGCUCAUCACAUCCUGGGGCUGAAGUAGGUCCCAAGGGUAUGGCUGUUCGCCAUUUAAAGUGGUACGCGAGCUGGGUUUAGAACGUCGUGAGACAGUUCGGUCCCUAUCUGCCGUGGGCGCUGGAGAACUGAGGGGGGCUGCUCCUAGUACGAGAGGACCGGAGUGGACGCAUCACUGGUGUUCGGGUUGUCAUGCCAAUGGCACUGCCCGGUAGCUAAAUGCGGAAGAGAUAAGUGCUGAAAGCAUCUAAGCACGAAACUUGCCCCGAGAUGAGUUCUCCCUGACUCCCUGAGAGUCCUGAAGGAACGUUGAAGACGACGACGUUGAUAGGCCGGGUGUGUAAGCGCAGCGAUGCGUUGAGCUAACCGGUACUAAUGAACCGUGAGGCUUAACCUUACAACGCCGAAG
RNAcentral lists this ribosomal RNA (2926 nucleotides) under Escherichia coli. RNAcentral's name for it is "23S ribosomal RNA". It matches the Rfam family "Bacterial large subunit ribosomal RNA". Lineage: Bacteria; Pseudomonadati; Pseudomonadota; Gammaproteobacteria; Enterobacterales; Enterobacteriaceae. The record is from RNAcentral.